UUUAAUAUGGCAGAAUAAGUGCUAUGGUGUUAAAUACCAUAUAUGAAAUUUAAAUUUCUAUUAAAA
Molecule: transfer RNA, 66 nt
Filed under: Pseudomyrmex gracilis
Lineage: Eukaryota; Metazoa; Arthropoda; Insecta; Hymenoptera; Formicidae
Description: tRNA-Leu
Source: RNAcentral